AGGAGAGAAGGAAAGGAGGAAGAGAAAACGAAGUGGGGGAAGGGGGGAAUGAAAUCCUGCUGCAUCGGAAAUGUUGGUUAUUGAUAUGAAAAUAUUAAAGAAGAAAUAAAAUAAAAAAUAAAAAAAUGGCAGUGAUUGGUCAGCUUAUCCAAUGGCCCAUCCUGAGCUAGGAUGGAUGCUUCCGUGGCUGCGGAGUCGCGUGG
This 203-nucleotide long non-coding RNA is filed under the name Physcomitrium patens. RNAcentral's name for it is "long non-coding RNA (PPAT_LNC001954)". Lineage: Eukaryota; Viridiplantae; Streptophyta; Bryopsida; Funariales; Funariaceae. The record is from RNAcentral.